RNAcentral lists this ribosomal RNA (468 nucleotides) under uncultured bacterium. RNAcentral describes it as "partial 16S ribosomal RNA". It matches the Rfam family "Bacterial small subunit ribosomal RNA", at positions 28 to 507 of the family's 1533-position model. The record is from RNAcentral.
GACGAACGCUGGCGGCGUGCUUAACACAUGCAAGUCGAACGGAAAGGCCCUGCUUUUGUGGGGUUCUCGUGUGGCGCGCGGGUGUGUAACACGUGUGUAACCCGCCCCUGACUUUGGUAUAACUUCAGGAAACUGGGGCUAAUACCGGAUAUGAGCUCCUGCUGCAUGUUGUUGGUUGGAAAGUUUCGGCGGUAGGGGAUGGACUCGCUGCUUAUGAGCUUGUUGGUGGGGUAGUUGCUUACCAAGGCUUUGACGGAUAGCCUGCCUGAGAGUGUGACCGGCCACAUUGGGACUGAGAUAGGGCCCAGACUCCUACGGGAGGCAACAGUGGAAAAUAUUACACAAUGGGCGGGAGUGAGAUGGAGCAGCGCCGCGUGCGGGAAAACCGCUUUCGGGGUGUAAACCGUUUUCGAAGGAAACGAAGCGUGAGUGACGGUAAUGAGUAAAGAAGCACCGGCUAGCUACGUG